CACGACAAUUGAUGAGCUUAUAGACCUGUAAUGAUUUGGAGGCUGCGAUCGCAAUUAUUAAUGAACAUGUAAAGGACUGAGUCAUA
This is a small nucleolar RNA of Gastrolobium bilobum, 86 nucleotides long. RefSeq annotates it as small nucleolar RNA SNORD25. NCBI's taxonomy places the organism in Eukaryota, Viridiplantae, Streptophyta, Magnoliopsida, Fabales, Fabaceae. The transcript has a single exon. The record is from RefSeq and is a predicted model, not a curated record.